Molecule: ribosomal RNA, 460 nt
Filed under: uncultured bacterium
Lineage: Bacteria
Description: partial 16S ribosomal RNA
Rfam family: Bacterial small subunit ribosomal RNA
Source: RNAcentral
CCUACGGGGGGUAGCAGUGAGGAAUAUUGGUCAAUGGGCGAGAGCCUGAACCAGCCAAGUCGCGUGAAGGAUGACGGAUCUAUGGUUUGUAAACUUCUUUUAUAUGGGAAUAAAAUGAGGAACGUGUUCCUUUUUGUAUGUACCUUAUGAAUAAGCAUCGGCUAACUCCGUGCCAGCAGCCGCGGUAAUACGGAGGAUGCGAGCGUUAUCCGGAUUUAUUGGGUUUAAAGGGUGCGUAGGUGGGUAAUUAAGUCAGCGGUGAAAGUUUGUGGCUCAACCAUAAAAUUGCCAUUGAAACUGGUAGACUUGAGUAUAUUUGAGGUAGGCGGAAUGCGUGGUGUAGCGGUGAAAUGCAUAGAUAUCACGCAGAACUCCGAUUGCGAAGGCAGCUUACUAAACUAUAACUGACACUGAAGCACGAAAGCGUGGGGAUCAAACAGGAUUAGAUACCCGGGUAGUC